GCCAUCUCGUUAGGGCCCGGUAAUAGGGUGUACCGGCCCAAAAAAUUCGGCCACUUUUAAACUCACAGCCCAGCCCAUGGUCUACUACAGCCCACACAAACCCCCCUGUGGUAUAAAAGCACGAAUUCAUCUCCUCCUAACCCUAAAAUUCACUUUUCCCGUCUCCAUCCGAUUGAGCGGCGGCUGUGGGCAACGAAACCCUAGCGAGUGAGGCGGGGGCGCGGUGCAGCGCCGCCUCCUCCCAUCCAGCUCGUCUCCCUCCCUCCCAAUCUCCUCCCUUGUCUCCCUCCCUCCCAAUCUCCUCCCUCCCAGUCUCUUUCCCGUCCAUGGACGGUGGUGGCAGCGCCAUGGAGCACGGCCGCACAACUUCGAUGUCGGGGCAGGUGGGCUCGGGCGUUGAACGGCUCCACGGGAGCAGCAGCAUGCGGCGCAUCCAGUCGGGCUUGGGUAGUGCCCCGGCGCCAGACGCACGCGCUGGUUUCCGGCAAGCUGGACAUGAUAUGGCGGUUUUGUGGCGACACACCUGCGGGACGCAACGGAGAUCGGGGCUCGGGUUUUCCUGCUGUUGCGCCUACGAGUAUUCCUUUGGCAAAUGUCUAGGAACCGACUCCCGACGUCCUUCAAUGUCGCUAAGCGAAACAGGCCCUCCUACGGUAAUUGUGCACUUUGUGAUGUGCAUGAGAAUGCCAAUCACGUCUUUUUUGGAUAUCCGUUAGCGCACUUCGUGUGGAGUGCAGUUCAUGAAGCCUCAGGGACGGAUUUGUUAUCUUUGCUGAAUCCAUUGCAUGGCGCGACUUGUUAUUAAUAUAAAGCCGGGCGCUUUUUA
Triticum aestivum (bread wheat) is the source of this 826-nucleotide long non-coding RNA. RefSeq lists it as uncharacterized. NCBI's taxonomy places the organism in Eukaryota, Viridiplantae, Streptophyta, Magnoliopsida, Poales, Poaceae. The transcript has 2 exons. The record is from RefSeq and is a predicted model, not a curated record.